RNAcentral lists this ribosomal RNA (480 nucleotides) under uncultured bacterium. RNAcentral describes it as "bacterial SSU rRNA". It matches the Rfam family "Bacterial small subunit ribosomal RNA", at positions 20 to 518 of the family's 1533-position model. The record is from RNAcentral.
UGGCUCAGGACGAACGCUGGCGGCGUGCCUAACACAUGCAAGUCGAGCGAGGAGAUCCUUCGGGAUGAUCCUAGCGGCGGACGGGUGAGUAACACGUGGGCAACCUGCCUCAUAGAGAGGAAUAGCCUUCCGAAAGGGAGAUUAAUACCUCAUAACAUUGCAGUUUCGCAUGGAACAGCAAUUAAAGGAGCAAUCCGCUAUGAGAUGGGCCCGCGGCGCAUUAGCCAGUUGGUGAGGUAACGGCUCACCAAGGCGACGAUGCGUAGCCGACCUGAGAGGGUGAUCGGCCACAUUGGGACUGAGACACGGCCCAGACUCCUACGGGAGGCAGCAGUGGGGAAUAUUGCACAAUGGGGGAAACCCUAAUGCAGCAACGCCGCGUGAGUGAUGACGGCCUUCGGGUUGUAAAGCUCUGUCUUCAGGGACGAUAAUGACGGUACCUGAGGAGGAAGCCACGGCUAACUACGUGCCAGCCGCCGC